AUUGAACGCUGGCGGCAGGCCUAACACAUGCAAGUCGAACGAGAGGCGGACGGGUGAGUGAUGUCUGGGAAACUGCCCGAUGGAGGGGGAUAACUACUGGAAACGGUGGCUAAUACCGCCGACCAUCGGAUGUGCCCAGAUGGGAGUAGCUUGUAGGUGAGGUAACGGCUCACCUAGGGGAAGAAUCCUAGCUGGUCUGAGAGUAGGACCAGCCACACUGGAACUGAGCCACGGUCCAGACUCCUACGGGAGGCAGCAGUGGGGAAUAUUGCACAAUGGGCGCAAUCCUGAUGCAGCCAUGCCGCGUGGAUGAAGCAGGCCUUCGGGUUGUAAAGGACUUUCAGCUGGGAGGCGUUACCCGCAGAAGAAGCACCGGCUAACUCCGUGCCAGCAGCCGCGGUAAUUC
This 406-nucleotide ribosomal RNA is filed under the name uncultured bacterium. RNAcentral's name for it is "partial 16S ribosomal RNA". It matches the Rfam family "Bacterial small subunit ribosomal RNA", at positions 30 to 526 of the family's 1533-position model. The record is from RNAcentral.